GCCGCGGUAGAUCAGCCAGGGAGAUCGCACGGCUGAAGACCGUGUUGUCCGCGGUUCAAAUCCGCGCCGCGGCACCA
RNAcentral lists this transfer RNA (77 nucleotides) under Candidatus Thorarchaeota archaeon SMTZ1-45. RNAcentral describes it as "tRNA-Phe". It matches the Rfam family "tRNA". Rfam says of the family: Transfer RNA (tRNA) molecules are approximately 80 nucleotides in length. Their secondary structure includes four short double-helical elements and three loops (D, anti-codon, and T loops). Further hydrogen bonds mediate the characteristic L-shaped molecular structure. tRNAs have two regions of fundamental functional importance: the anti-codon, which is responsible for specific mRNA codon recognition, and the 3' end, to which the tRNAs corresponding amino acid is attached (by aminoacyl-tRNA synthetases). tRNAs cope with the degeneracy of the genetic code in two manners: having more than one tRNA (with a specific anti-codon) for a particular amino acid; and 'wobble' base-pairing, i.e. permitting non-standard base-pairing at the 3rd anti-codon position. The record is from RNAcentral. Lineage: Archaea; Promethearchaeati; Candidatus Thorarchaeota. RNAcentral also lists the same sequence under 7 other names.